UACACCUUCUUCUUCAGGGAGUUUAAUACAUUGUUUUGUCAUUCAAUAAAUUCUAAUAUGGUAUUAGAGCGAAUCAAAGCUUCCUGCUGCUGCUUUUCUUUUCCAGAAUUUUGCUGGAAUUAUUCUUGGUUUUCUGAUUGUUGCUGAUAAUGGCAGAACCUUCCAAAUUCAAAGUUCAUUCAUGUUCAUAAUGUUGGACGUGAAAAUUCCCUCUCCUCUUUCAGAUUUUUAUUCUCUAAAAUUUUAGAGAUCUUUAUGGAUGGUCAGAACCUUUUCCUCCUCAAAUUGGAGUUUUUGUCUCCAUUGCUUAUAUAUCAGACAGCUGCAAUUUCUUUUCUGCAAAAGUUAGCUGCUCGUGCAAUCAUCUUAUUUGUCCGAGUUUGUGUCUAAGUAUUAUGGCAAUGAGUGGAAUGUUGACCAGAUUUCCUCAUUUUGUAUCUUCUUUUAUGACUUCUUAGUUUUCACUAAUAAAGGUGACUUUCACUUCCUGGCCAAUGUAUGUGAUAUUGUUGGAGGUGUUUUCGU
This 525-nucleotide long non-coding RNA is filed under the name Olea europaea subsp. europaea. The record is from RNAcentral. Lineage: Eukaryota; Viridiplantae; Streptophyta; Magnoliopsida; Lamiales; Oleaceae.